This 180-nucleotide ribosomal RNA is filed under the name uncultured bacterium. Its description in RNAcentral is "partial 16S ribosomal RNA". It matches the Rfam family "Bacterial small subunit ribosomal RNA", at positions 1321 to 1500 of the family's 1533-position model. The record is from RNAcentral.
UGAAGCUGGAAUUGCUAGUAAUGGCAGGUCAGCAUACUGCCGUGAAUACGUUCCCGGGCCCUUGUACACACCGCCCGUCACACCAUGAGAGUUGGGAAUACCCGAAGCCUGUGAGCUAACUUAUAGAGGCAGCAGUCGAAGGUAGAAUCAAUGAUUGGGGUGAAGUCGUAACAAGGUAGC